GACGAACGCUGGCGGCGUGCCUAAUACAUGCAAGUUGAGCGCUGAAGGUUGGUACUUGUACCAACUGGAUGAGCAGCGAACGGGUGAGUAACGCGUGGGGAAUCUGCCUUUGAGCGGGGGACAACAUUUGGAAACGAAUGCUAAUACCGCAUAAAAACUUUAAACACAAGUUUUAAGUUUGAAAGAUGCAAUUGCAUCACUCAAAGAUGAUCCCGCGUUGUAUUAGCUAGUUGGUGAGGUAAAGGCUCACCAAGGCGAUGAUACAUAGCCGACCUGAGAGGGUGAGCGGCCACAUUGGGACUGAGACACGGCCCAAACUUCUACGGGAGGCAGCAGUAGGGAAUCUUCGGCAAUGGACGAAAGUCUGACCGAGCAACGCCGCGUGAGUGAAGAAGGGUUUCGGAUCGUAAAACUCUGUUGGUAGAGAAGAACGUUGGUGAGAGUGGAAAGCUCAUCAAGUGACGGUAACUACCCAGAAAGGGACGGCUAACUACGUG
RNAcentral lists this ribosomal RNA (497 nucleotides) under uncultured bacterium. RNAcentral describes it as "partial 16S ribosomal RNA". It matches the Rfam family "Bacterial small subunit ribosomal RNA", at positions 28 to 507 of the family's 1533-position model. The record is from RNAcentral.